UCCUACGGGGGGCAGCAGUAGGGAAUCUUCCACAAUGGACGAAAGUCUGAUGGAGCAACGCCGCGUGAGUGAAGAAGGGUUUCGGCUCGUAAAGCUCUGUUGGUAGUGAAGAAAGAUAGAGGUAGUAACUGGCCUUUAUUUGACGGUAAUUACUUAGAAAGUCACGGCUAACUACGUGCCAGCAGCCGCGGUAAUACGUAGGUGGCAAGCGUUGUCCGGAUUUAUUGGGCGUAAAGGGAGUGGCGGCGGGUU
RNAcentral lists this ribosomal RNA (252 nucleotides) under uncultured bacterium. Its description in RNAcentral is "partial 16S ribosomal RNA". It matches the Rfam family "Bacterial small subunit ribosomal RNA", at positions 337 to 581 of the family's 1533-position model. The record is from RNAcentral.